This 491-nucleotide ribosomal RNA is filed under the name uncultured bacterium. Its description in RNAcentral is "partial 16S ribosomal RNA". It matches the Rfam family "Bacterial small subunit ribosomal RNA", at positions 30 to 507 of the family's 1533-position model. The record is from RNAcentral.
AGUGAACGCUGGCGGUAGGCCUAACACAUGCAAGUCGAACGGCAGCACAGUAAGAGCUUGCUCUACCGGUGGGGGGGUGGGGGAGGGGUGAGGAAAAAAUCGGAACCUAGUUUUUGGGGGGGGUUAAGGAAGGGAAAGUUACGCUAUUACGGAAUAGGACGUAGGGGGGAAGGCGGGGGAACUUGGACCUUUGGGGGAUUGAAUGGGCGAAGGCGGGUUUGCUUGGUGGCGGGGUAAAGGCCCAACAAGGCGACGGACCGUAGCUGGGCUGAGGGGAUGAUCAGCCACACUGGAACUGAGACACGGUCCAGACUCCUACGGGAGGCAGCAGUGGGGAAUAUUGGACAAUGGGCGCAAGCCUGAUCCAGCCAUACCGCGUGGGUGAAGAAGGCCUUCGGGUUGUAAAGCCCUUUUGUUGGGAAAGAAAAGCAGCAGGUUAAUACCCCGCUGUUCUGACGGUACCCAAAGAAUAAGCACCGGCUAACUUCGUG